This is a long non-coding RNA of Betta splendens (Siamese fighting fish), 625 nucleotides long. RefSeq lists it as uncharacterized. NCBI's taxonomy places the organism in Eukaryota, Metazoa, Chordata, Actinopteri, Anabantiformes, Osphronemidae. The transcript has 3 exons. The record is from RefSeq and is a predicted model, not a curated record.
GCAGAGAUGACAAGGAGGAAGUGGAGGUGUCACAGCUCGCACGCUCGCAGCUGGGUGCUGGGUGCUGGGCCGCGUGACGAGACGCCACACACCUGGUGGAGGAAACAAGCCCACACACUCGGCAGCGGGGUGAGAAGAGGCCGACGAGCGCAGGGCGACAGACGCAGUCACACCCAGGACAGAUGUCCUGCGUCUCGCUGGGACACUCAGACAAAGGCAGCCGAUUUCAACACUGGAAGCAUUCAAUGGCCCGCGAGACCCACGCAAAGUCCUUCGCAGGUUCGCUGGGAGCGCCACUGCUCGCAUUUUUCACAUUCUCAAAAGCAAACAGAAGAAUACUGAACGGGAGGGGACGAACCAAUCAGAGAUGAACAUCUCCCAUUCUCUCCACGGAUUCGUUGCCUACGCUGCCUCCGUCAGUUGUCCCCCGCCUCCAUGGGAACUGAGUGAAACCAUGCGCGACAGCACUUCUGGCUGCGUCGGCGCUUCAAGCGUCAUUUUUCCAACGUGUGAAGCUACACACACCCCUGCCUGCAGAGCCGCAUGUGUUCUACGUGGAACAAUGUAAACACCCAAGACACCAAUGACAACACUGCCCAAAGUGAUGAUGGAACAUACCAGAUCU